GACAGAGGGUGCAAACGUUGUCCGGAUUUAUUGGGCGUAAAGAGCGUGUAGGCGGCCAGGUAGGUCUGCUGUGAAAACUCGAGGCUCAACCUCGAGCUGUCGGCGGAAACCAUCUGGCUAGAGUCCGGAAGAGGAGAGUGGAAUUCCUGGUGUAGCGGUGAAAUGCGCAGAUAUCGGGAAGAACACCUAUGGCGAAGGCAGCUCUCUGGGACGGUACUGACGCUGAGACGCGAAAGCGUGGGGAGCGAACAGG
This 253-nucleotide ribosomal RNA is filed under the name uncultured bacterium. RNAcentral's name for it is "partial 16S ribosomal RNA". It matches the Rfam family "Bacterial small subunit ribosomal RNA", at positions 524 to 776 of the family's 1533-position model. The record is from RNAcentral.